This 549-nucleotide long non-coding RNA is filed under the name Oncorhynchus mykiss (rainbow trout). RNAcentral's name for it is "lncRNA (ENSOMYG00000052988.1)". Lineage: Eukaryota; Metazoa; Chordata; Actinopteri; Salmoniformes; Salmonidae. The record is from RNAcentral.
UUACUAUAAAGGGCUCUGUAAUAAUGUUACCAUAAAGUCUCUGUAAUGUUGUUACUAUAAAGGCUCUGUAAUGUUGUUACUAUAAAGGACUCUGUAAUGUUGUUACUAUAAAGGACUCUGUAAUAAUGUUACUAUAAAGGCGCUGUAAUGUUGAGACUAUAAAGUCUCUGUAACAUUGUUACAUAAAGACUCUGUAAUGCUGUUACUAUAAAGUCUCUGUAAUGUUGUUACUAUAAAGGACUCUGUAAUAAUGUACCUAUAAAGUCUGUAAAGUUGUUACAUAAAUUCUCUGUAAUAAUGUUACUAUAAAGGACUCUGUAAUGUUGUUACUAUAAAGGCUCUGUGAUGUUGUUACUAUAAAGGCUCUGUAAUGUUGUUACUAUAAAGUCUCCAUAAUGUUGUUACUAUAAAAGGGCUCUGUAAUGUUGUAACUAUAAAGGCUCUGUAAUGUUGUUACUAUGAAAGCUCUGGAAUGUUGUGAGUAUAAAGGUCUCUGUAAUGUUGUUACUUACUAUAAAGGGCUCUGUAAUGUUGUUACUAUAAAGGCUC